This is a long non-coding RNA of Rosa rugosa (rugosa rose), 3750 nucleotides long. RefSeq lists it as uncharacterized. The record is from RefSeq and is a predicted model, not a curated record. The transcript has 2 exons. NCBI's taxonomy places the organism in Eukaryota, Viridiplantae, Streptophyta, Magnoliopsida, Rosales, Rosaceae.
UCUCUCUCUCUCUCUCUCUCUCUCAUUCUCUAUCUUCUUCUUCCUCUUCAUACCAAAGGAAAUCAAGUUGGGUAUUAAUCAUAUAAAUACCGCCUACAAUUGUUCAAAGCUAUAGGUCAAUGAACCCAAAAACAUGAAGAGGCAGAGAGUCAGCGGUCUUUGAUCGUCACCAUUGUCGUUUACCCAUGGCUGGGAUUUUUCUUUUGGAAAUUGAAUCAGGAAGAGGGGAAACAAAAAUGGUUGGUUUUGUUUUAGCUUCUUUUAGUAAAGCUUGGAACUUUCUUGGUGGGUUUUGGUGUUUGAUUCUGUACUGAUCUCCAAAUCGAAGAACAAGUCUUCUUCUUCCUCCUCUUCCACCUCAAAUUCAUUGUUUAUUUCAAGUAAAGGACUAGGGAAUUGCAAUGGGAGAAGGAUUGGAUUUCCAGAACUUAAGAAAGUGUACAGAGUCUCCAUGGUUACAAAAAGAAACAGAAAGACUGAUUGGAAGAGAGAGAGAGAGAGAAGAGAAGGAAAGAGGAAGAAACAAUAAAAAAUAAAAAAUAAAAAAUAAAAAAUAAAAAGCAUGAAAUUGAAGCAGUUUUGCAGUUCAGUGUUUAAAUUUGAAACUUCCAAAUCUACAGCAGCAGCAAACUAGAAAAUAAGGUAAGUCACAGACCUAACACAGUGAACACACAAAGUCACAAAUUGAACUAAUGCCCACAUAUCCUAGCCCCAAGUCCCCAAGUACAAGCAAAUGAACUAAUGUUCAAAUAUUUAGCAAAGUAGAAAGCCAGAACUUUGAAGUAGCAACACAAUCAAACAAUUAACGAUAUGAGAAACGUAAAUCUGCAAUUCUGCAAAUGUGUAGCAAGCUAGUAAGGCAUUCAAUUUCUAAAGUAAAUUGAUGUUGUUUAGUGUCUCACUCAUUGAAAAACAAAGUAAUUCCAUAAUUUUGAGUAUUAGUUGCUCGAGGUGAACCAAUAAUUAUUUACUGCAUGUCAAUAAUUAACUACAGAGUUAUUGACAUGCAGUAAAUAAUUAGUAACAGAGAGUUAGUUAGAUUGCUAGUCUGAAACCAAUAAUACUAUGAAUGGGAUCUCCGAGUCACAAAUAGGAGAUCCCAUUCAUAGUAAACUAUGUAUUGGGCGACCACGCAGAAUGGAUCUCCGAGUCACAAAUAGGAGAGAGUGAAAGAACCCACCAAUAAGGUACAGACGGUAAAAUGGGGGAGACGACGUCGUUCAUGAGAAACAAAUACUGGGUAUUGAGGCACGGCAGGAGCAUUCACUACUACAAAAACAAGCAUAGGACGCCAUCGAUUAAGGGUGUCAAAUACUCACGUUAGCCACCAAAACCAUGAAUAGCCACUGUGCAGCCACCGAACUGAUGUCAGUGCCCUUAAUUGGGGUUUCCUAUAGAGCAUACAGCACCAUUCUAGCAUCGGUGCUGUGUUUUCCAAUGAGAACGCGAUGGCCCAUUUAAAGGAUGUUACUGACACAUCUGAUAUCAACUCAUUGAUUUUAUUAAUUUUCUACACUAUUAUAAACUGAUGUAUCGGUGUGAAAACCAAACAGCAUUUUAAAAAAAAAAUGUUGCGCCAGUUUAAUUGGCGCCAAAAUCAAGCAUUUAUUUUAUAAUUUUUCAUUUUUCCCCUGGCCUGCCCCAUGUUUUGGAUUGUAUAAUCAUAUUACAGCAAUUACACAGCAAAUGAAAAACCUCUAAAAACACUUAUGAGAGACUUGUAUUCCAUAGUUGUCAUAACUGCACAAUGGACAAUGACUUGUUUAACAUGUCGAACGACGUCUUCUCGUCAAGAUGCCUCUUCAUACUUGAAACUGUAGAGGAAUAGAAAGCAAAGCUACCUAAUUUAGUUCUCAGGGAACAUGUGUGUUCUGAAGGAAUCAAAACAGAAAGAAGAACAAUAAUACUUAGCUUAGCUCUCAUGUAGCUUCUGAUGUUAACCCUAACAUUCAGUAUUUCCUUCUCCAAUUCGUCUUAUCACUUCAACUUCCGCCCAGCUAGGAGCUUUCCUAACCUUGCAGCUACUUGUUUAGAAAUUCAUAAAACACCUGUACAAUAAGUUAAACUCACAAAUAUACACACUACAGUCUGAAAACAUAAAAUAGCAAACUGAUCGGGUUUCACAUAUGAAGGUUCCAGAAAUAGUGAUAAAUAAAGUAACCUCAUUGUCACACUAUCAGUUGAUUCAAAAGCAGAAGCAAAAUGCCAACAAUGUUCACUUAUUUCGUACACCAUAAUUUGGUUUUACCUUGACCCCAUCCGCAAAUGUCAAUGGCAUUGGAAACAAAAUUUCCUUCUCGAUGAUAUGAGCAACAAAAUUAAUUACAUGGAGUGAAUUAAUUAAUGAGGCUGAGACAUAUCUGAAUACCAAAGAAAAGAUAGAUAUUACAAACUUCAACAACAAACUGCCAAAUACAAUAUAUAUUCAAUAGAAACCUAAAUACCUUCAAUGGAAAACAAUGAGCUGAUAGAACCAAAACCAGUAUGGUGAAGAGCCUUGUUGAACAGAUCAGGCAAAAGUAACCGGAUAAGAAAAAGACAAUAGUUACCACAAGGCCUGUCAUUGAAGUCGCAAAUGUAAAUAGGUUACGACAUACCACUUUAUCAUAUAUAAACUAAAAAGAACCAUCAACAAGCAUUUAGAUUCUAUAUAAAGAAUAUAACAAGUUAUGCUAUUUCACUGCAAAAGUCUAAAGUAUAUAUUCAUAAGAAAGCAAUUUACUUUAAAUUUUGCUUCAAUAAUUGAAAAGAAAAUAUUCAGGUUAUGAGAACCGGCAAUCAUCCUGCCAACCCAAAUGAAAUGUAACAAUCCUGAGAUACACCACUGUCAAUAACAAAGAAACAAAGUUAACAGGAGUAUGCAUGGUGCAUGCUUCCCAUGACAGCCCAAUGAACACAAUUUCACAUUCUCACAGCUUCAGUAGUUUCCAUCACAGAACCAAUUUUAGACAAACGUGAUAUAUGGAUAUAAGUGUCAUGACUAGUAAUCCCAAAAGUAAAAUGCCAGACAUUACAUGCAAGCUCUGAAACUUAAAAUCCCUUGGAUCCUCUACUAAUGUGAAAAAAGAAAAGAAAAGGGAGGAGUAUUACCUUCAAAAAUAAAGUAAUAGCAUGUCUUCUCCUUGAUUGGUUUCUCACUCGCUGCAGGAAGUACAAUAAACAAAGAGCUAUGAAGACUGCUUUUUGUAUGGAUUCUCACACUAACGGAAUAUAAUACAAGUAGUAUUAAUUUGAAUAUAAAAUGUAUUGCAUUUGGGUUUUUAACAAAGAGAAAUCACUCAUAAUUUACGGAUGCUCACUAGUCAAGACUUCAAGUCGGAAGAACUUUGAAACCUUCCCACUGAAACAUACCUAGCCAUCCAAAUAAACUAAGGAUGAAAAACUGGAAGCACAAAAACAUGUAAGAAAAGAUACGAUAGGAUACAGAACGUACUAACCAACAUGCCAGCGAUAAAGGAGAGAAGAACAAUAAUAUAAGCAGACAAAAAGAAAGUCCUAGAAUCCAAGAGUGAAAUAUUGAAACAGAGAACAUGACUACCAAAUCAGAACUACCAUUGUUGCAUAACUUACAAUGCAGCAGAAACCUAAAGGAACCAUGUUAAAGGCAAAAAGCAUUAAGUUUAUGCCUGACACUGACUAUCAGACCUUAAUUGUUCCUACAAAACCAAAUUUUUGAUAAGAAAAAUCAAAUAGUAAGUACAUAUAUGAUGCUUUACAAAAUUGAAAGCAACCAAGUCUUGAAGCACCGUA